AUUGAACGCUGGCGGCAUGCCUUACACAUGCAAGUCGAACGGCAGCACGGGUGCUUGCACCUGGUGGCGAGUGGCGAACGGGUGAGUAAUACAUCGGAACAUGUCCUGUAGUGGGGGAUAGCCCGGCGAAAGCCGGAUUAAUACCGCAUACGAUCUACGGAUGAAAGCGGGGGACCUUCGGGCCUCGCGCUAUAGGGUUGGCCGAUAGCUGAUUAGCUAGUUGGUGGGGUAAAGGCCUACCAAGGCGACGAUCAGUAGCUGGUCUGAGAGGACGACCAGCCACACUGGGACUGAGACAAGGCCCAGACUCCUACGGGAGGCAGCAGUGGGGAAUUUUGGACAAUGGGCGAAAGCCUGAUCCAGCAAUGCCGCGUGUGUGAAGAAGGCCUUCGGGUUGUAAAGCACUUUUGUCCGGAAAGAAAUCCUUGGCUCUAAUACAGUCGGGGGAUGACGGUACCGGAAGAAUAAGCACCGGCUAACUACGUG
Molecule: ribosomal RNA, 486 nt
Filed under: uncultured bacterium
Lineage: Bacteria
Description: partial 16S ribosomal RNA
Rfam family: Bacterial small subunit ribosomal RNA
Source: RNAcentral